This 368-nucleotide ribosomal RNA is filed under the name uncultured bacterium. RNAcentral's name for it is "bacterial SSU rRNA". It matches the Rfam family "Bacterial small subunit ribosomal RNA", at positions 29 to 410 of the family's 1533-position model. The record is from RNAcentral.
AAUCAACGCUGGCGGCGCGCUUAACACAUGCAAGUCGAGCGAGAAAGGGGAGCAAUCCCUGAGUAAAGCGGCGCACGGGUGAGUAACACGUGGGGAAUCUACCUCUGGGUGGGGAAUAACUCUGGGAAACCGGAGCUAAUACCGCAUAAGCCUGGGAAGGGAAAGUCGAAAGACGCCGGGAGAGGACCCCGCGGCCGAUUAGCUAGUUGGUGAGGUAACGGCUCACCAAGGCAAAGAUCGGUAGCCGGCCUGAGAGGGCACACGGCCACACUGGCACUGAAACACGGGCCAGACUCCUACGGGAGGCAGCAGUGGGGAAUCUUGCACAAUGGGGGCAACCCUGAUGCAGCGACGCCGCGUGAGCGAUG